RNAcentral lists this ribosomal RNA (557 nucleotides) under Saccharomyces cerevisiae (brewer's yeast). Its description in RNAcentral is "partial large subunit ribosomal RNA". It matches the Rfam family "Eukaryotic large subunit ribosomal RNA", at positions 45 to 603 of the family's 3401-position model. The record is from RNAcentral. Lineage: Eukaryota; Fungi; Ascomycota; Saccharomycetes; Saccharomycetales; Saccharomycetaceae.
AAUAAGCGGAGGAAAAGAAACCAACCGGGAUUGCCUUAGUAACGGCGAGUGAAGCGGCAAAAGCUCAAAUUUGAAAUCUGGUACCUUCGGUGCCCGAGUUGUAAUUUGGAGAGGGCAACUUUGGGGCCGUUCCUUGUCUAUGUUCCUUGGAACAGGACGUCAUAGAGGGUGAGAAUCCCGUGUGGCGAGGAGUGCGGUUCUUUGUAAAGUGCCUUCGAAGAGUCGAGUUGUUUGGGAAUGCAGCUCUAAGUGGGUGGUAAAUUCCAUCUAAAGCUAAAUAUUGGCGAGAGACCGAUAGCGAACAAGUACAGUGAUGGAAAGAUGAAAAGAACUUUGAAAAGAGAGUGAAAAAGUACGUGAAAUUGUUGAAAGGGAAGGGCAUUUGAUCAGACAUGGUGUUUUGUGCCCUCUGCUCCUUGUGGGUAGGGGAAUCUCGCAUUUCACUGGGCCAGCAUCAGUUUUGGUGGCAGGAUAAAUCCAUAGGAAUGUAGCUUGCCUCAAGGUAAGUAUUAUAGCCUGUGGGAAUACUGCCCAGCUGGGACUGAGGACUGCGACGU